GACGAACGCUGGCGGCGUGCUUAACACAUGCAAGUCGAACGGAAAGGCCCUGCUUUUGUGGGGUGCUCGAGUGGCGAACGGGUGAGUAACACGUGAGUAACCUGCCCUUGACUUUGGGAUAACUUCAGGAAACUGGGGCUAAUACCGGAUAGGAGCUCCUGCUGCAUGGUGGGGGUUGGAAAGUUUCGGCGGUUGGGGAUGGACUCGCGGCUUAUCAGCUUGUUGGUGGGGUAGUGGCUUACCAAGGCUUUGACGGGUAGCCGGCCUGAGAGGGUGACCGGCCACAUUGGGACUGAGAUACGGCCCAGACUUCUACGGGAGGCAGCAGUGGGGAAUAUUGCACAAUGGGCGGAAGCCUGAUGCAGCAACACCGCGUGCGGGAUGACGGCCUUCGGGUUGUAAACCGCUUUCGCCUGUGACGAAGCGUGAGUGACGGUAAUGGGUAAAGAAGCGCCGGCUAACUACGUGCCAGCAGCCGCGGUGAUACGUAGGGUGCGAGCGUUGUCCGGAUUUAUUGGGCGUAAAGGGCUCGUAGGUGGUUGAUCGCGUCGGAAGUGUAAUCUUGGGGCUUAACCCUGAGCGUGCUUUCGAUACGGGUUGACUUGAGGAAGGUAGGGGAGAAUGGAAUUCCUGGUGGAGCGGUGGAAUGCGCAGAUAUCAGGAGGAACACCAGUGGCGAAGGCGGUUCUCUGGGCCUUUCCUGACGCUGAGGAGCGAAAGCGUGGGGAGCGAACAGGCUUAGAUACCCUGGUAGUCCACGCUGUAAACGGUGGGUACUAGGUGUGGGGUCCAUUCCACGGGUUCCGUGCCGUAGCUAACGCUUUAAGUACCCCGCCUGGGGAGUACGGCCGCAAGGCUAAAACUCAAAGGAAUUGACGGGGCCCCGCACAAGCGGCGGAGCAUGCGGAUUAAUUCGAUGCAACGCGUAGAACCUUACCUGGGUUUGACAUGGAUCGGGAGCGCUCAGAGAUGGGUGUGCCUCUUUUGGGGUCGGUUCACAGGUGGUGCAUGGCUGUCGUCAGCUCGUGUCGUGAGAUGUUGGGUUAAGUCCCGCAACGAGCGCAACCCUUGUUCACUGUUGCCAGCACGUUAUGGUGGGGACUCAGUGGAGACCGCCGGGGUCAACUCGGAGGAAGGUGGGGAUGACGUCAAGUCAUCAUGCCCCUUAUGUCCAGGGCUUCACGCAUGCUACAAUGGCUGGUACAGAGAGUGGCGAGCCUGUGAGGGUGAGCGAAUCUCGGAAAGCCGGUCUCAGUUCGGAUUGGGGUCUGCAACUCGACCUCAUGAAGUCGGAGUCGCUAGUAAUCGCAGAUCAGCAACGCUGCGGUGAAUACGUUCCCGGGGCU
RNAcentral lists this ribosomal RNA (1346 nucleotides) under uncultured bacterium. RNAcentral describes it as "bacterial SSU rRNA". It matches the Rfam family "Bacterial small subunit ribosomal RNA", at positions 28 to 1381 of the family's 1533-position model. The record is from RNAcentral.